Molecule: non-coding RNA, 31 nt
Filed under: Macaca fascicularis (crab-eating macaque)
Lineage: Eukaryota; Metazoa; Chordata; Mammalia; Primates; Cercopithecidae
Also listed under: 1 other name
Source: RNAcentral
UCUAGGGCUGUGGAGCAGCUAGCCGGGUGUU